This 399-nucleotide RNase P RNA is filed under the name Candidatus Peregrinibacteria bacterium. RNAcentral describes it as "RNase P RNA component class A". It matches the Rfam family "Bacterial RNase P class A". Rfam says of the family: Ribonuclease P (RNase P) is a ubiquitous endoribonuclease, found in archaea, bacteria and eukarya as well as chloroplasts and mitochondria. Its best characterised activity is the generation of mature 5'-ends of tRNAs by cleaving the 5'-leader elements of precursor-tRNAs. The record is from RNAcentral. Lineage: Bacteria; Candidatus Peregrinibacteriota.
UGAUAAGUUUGAGUGAUCGCGUGUUUUUGGGCUUUUGCCCAUGAAUACGAGGAAAGUCCGGACACCACGGAAAAUGGUACCCGUCGAAGGCGGGCGUAUGAGUCAUAAUUCAUAAAACUCAUAUAGGGAAAGUGCCACAGAGACUAUACUAUCUUCGCCUCUGGCGAGGAGAAAGGUGAAAAGCCAUGGGCCACCCAUGGACACCCCUCACGGGGAAGUUGGUAAACCCUGCUUGGUGAAAGGUGAGAUGGAAAGAUGUGCAUCCCUCCAAAUGUUUGUACAUUUUCUCACCGCGAGACUCUGAAAAAUUGCUUCAUGGCAAGGACCAGAGCUAGAAAGAUGAUUACACCUCCACCUUGGUGGAGGAACAAAAUCCGGCUUAUGAUAACUUAUCAAGGG